This 72-nucleotide transfer RNA is filed under the name Camelus bactrianus (Bactrian camel). It matches the Rfam family "tRNA". Rfam says of the family: Transfer RNA (tRNA) molecules are approximately 80 nucleotides in length. Their secondary structure includes four short double-helical elements and three loops (D, anti-codon, and T loops). The record is from Rfam by way of RNAcentral. RNAcentral also lists the same sequence under 2 other names. Lineage: Eukaryota; Metazoa; Chordata; Mammalia; Artiodactyla; Camelidae.
GAGGGUAUAGCACAGUGGUAGAGUGCAUGCCUAGCAUGCACAAGGUCCUAGGUUCAAUUCCCAGUACCUCUG